This 433-nucleotide ribosomal RNA is filed under the name uncultured bacterium. Its description in RNAcentral is "partial 16S ribosomal RNA". It matches the Rfam family "Bacterial small subunit ribosomal RNA", at positions 29 to 507 of the family's 1533-position model. The record is from RNAcentral.
AACGAACGCUGGCGGCAUGCCUAACACAUGCAAGUCGAACGAGACCUUCGGGUCUAGUGGCGCACGGGUGCGUAACGCGUGGGAACCUGCACUUAGGUUCGGAAUAACUCCCCGAAAGGGGUGUUAAUACCGGAUAAUGUCUUCGGACCAAAGAUUUAUCGCCUUUGGAUGGGCCCGCGUUGGAUUAGCUAGUUGGUAGGGUAAAAGCCUACCAAGGCGAUGAUCCAUAGCUGGUCUGAGAGGAUGAUCAGCCACACUGGGACUGAGACACGGCCCAGAGUCCUACGGGAGGCAGCAGUAGGGAAUAUUGGACAAUGGGCGAAAGCCUGAUCCAGCAAUGCCGCGUGAGUGAUGAAGGCCGUAGGGUUGUAAAGCUCUUUUACCCGAGAUGAUAAUGACAGUACCGGGAGAAUAAGCUCCGGCUAACUCCGUG